This 449-nucleotide ribosomal RNA is filed under the name uncultured bacterium. RNAcentral's name for it is "bacterial SSU rRNA". It matches the Rfam family "Bacterial small subunit ribosomal RNA", at positions 328 to 793 of the family's 1533-position model. The record is from RNAcentral.
CCACCAGACUCCUACGGGAGGCAGCAGUGGGGAAUAUUGCACAAUGGGGGGAACCCUGAUGCAGCGACGCCGCGUGAGCGAAGAAGUAUUUCGGUAUGUAAAGCCCUAUCAGCAGGGAAGAAAAUGACGGUACCUGAGUAAGAAGCCCCGGCUAACUACGUGCCAGCAGCCGCGGUAAUACGUAGGGGGCAAGCGUUAUCCGGAUUUACUGGGUGUAAAGGGAGCGUAGACGGCGAUACAAGUCUGAAGUGAAAGCCCGGGGCCCAACCCCGGGACUGCUCUUGGAACUGCGCGGCUGGAGUGCAGGAGGGGCAGGCGGAAUUCCUGGUGUAGCGGUGAAAUGCGUAGAUAUCAGGAGGAACACCGGUGGCGAAGGCGGCCUGCUGGACUGCGACUGACGUUGAGGCCCGAAAGCGUGGGGAGCAAACAGGAUUAGAUACCCUGGUAUG